Phrynosoma platyrhinos (Desert horned lizard) is the source of this 72-nucleotide non-coding RNA. The record is from the annotation of a GenBank genome assembly. Lineage: Eukaryota; Metazoa; Chordata; Lepidosauria; Squamata; Phrynosomatidae.
GCAAGUGUGGUGCAGUGUUUUAAGUGUUAGACUAUGACUCUAGAGAUCAGGGUUCAAUUCCCUGCUUGGCCA